GGUCUUUCCACCAUGGACACUCGUUUUUUUGACAUCUUUGUUUCACAGUUAUCUAUAAACCUGAUACUGAAAACCACAAUGGUGUCAGAGAUACCCAAAACAGAUUGUUGCUGGCUUCUACUGGGACACAAUCAUUCCAUUUGUAAACAAAACGCCGUGGCGUUGGUGUUCCUCAGCCACGACAUCAGCCACUUGACCCGGCAGUCGCACUCAAAGGCGUUGCCUCGGAGGUCCCUGCAGGAAUCAAAAACUAUGUGACGCUGUCGUAAAGACGCAGGGGUCUGAUGCAAGGAGGAUGCUCACAGGGUUCAACUUUACCGGCAACGCACUUGCCAUCUUGGAGGUCCCAGUUUCACAAGGGAGGGGAUCGUGGUAGGUUUUGCAAUUACAUGUAGGAAUUCAUCUUCCCCCUUAUGUAAUGCCGCUUCCCAAUGCUGUGAUGCUACCACAACUACCUUGCAACUACCUGUGUUUCCAGCUAUUGACAUAAUAUUGGCUGUGUAUUUACUUAUUUUUCAAUGAGUACAAGCUGUAGACUGACUGCUCUGAAGUAUACAUCCAGGAUUACUUUCUAUAGUAUUGUAGAAUUAAAAGCUUGGUGAAAUGGGAGGGGUGUACUCACAGCUCUAUGAGAGAGUCCAAGCCGCUGAAGAGGUCCCGAGGCAGAGCUUUGAUGUAGUUGUUUGCCAAGGACCUAUGCGCAAUAUUAAUACAUACAGUAUAUCAAACCGUCAUCAUCCUUGCUAACUAAAAGAGUUCUGAUUUGUAAGGGUACAUACAAGUGAGUCAGGUCCCUGAGUCCUCUAAAGGCAUAUUUGGAUACAGUCUCUAUCCUGUUAUUCUCUAUAAACCUGUGAAAGGAACAAUACAUCAUACAAAAUAGAUGUGAUCGAUAUCUGCGGUCUACACAUGCAUUUAUCAUAAUGGAUUAGGAUGCACUAUUAUUCAUUUGUGUUUUUUAAGACAGUAGCUUCUAACCACCAGUCUAUUACGAAUAUAUAUAGACAACAUUUAGCUGACUUACAGAUACUCGAGAUGCGGAAGGCCUGCAAAUGCGUCAUCUCUAAUGGUUGUCAGGGAAUUGGAAUUCAGGAGCCUGAAAUAAAAGCAAACACAGAUGCGAAGAAAUUGUGAAUUUACCAUCAAUUAAAAUACUGAC
Molecule: non-coding RNA, 1159 nt
Organism: Doryrhamphus excisus (bluestripe pipefish)
Lineage: Eukaryota; Metazoa; Chordata; Actinopteri; Syngnathiformes; Syngnathidae
Source: RefSeq, a predicted model, not a curated record